This 72-nucleotide transfer RNA is filed under the name Lepisosteus oculatus (spotted gar). It matches the Rfam family "tRNA". From Rfam's summary of the family: Transfer RNA (tRNA) molecules are approximately 80 nucleotides in length. Their secondary structure includes four short double-helical elements and three loops (D, anti-codon, and T loops). Lineage: Eukaryota; Metazoa; Chordata; Actinopteri; Semionotiformes; Lepisosteidae. The record is from Rfam by way of RNAcentral.
GGGGGUAUAGCUCAGUGGUAGAGCAUUUGACUGCAGAUCAAGAGGUCACCAGUUCAAAUCUGGGUGCCCCCU